This is a small nuclear RNA of Molossus molossus (Pallas's mastiff bat), 107 nucleotides long. Lineage: Eukaryota; Metazoa; Chordata; Mammalia; Chiroptera; Molossidae. The record is from RefSeq and is a predicted model, not a curated record.
GUGCUCACUUCGGCAGCACAUGUACUGAAAUUAGAACAAUAUAGAGAAGAUUAACUUGGCCCCUGUGCGAGGAUGACACACACAUUCGUGAAGCAUCUCAUUUAAAA